Molecule: signal recognition particle RNA, 280 nt
Filed under: Carlito syrichta (Philippine tarsier)
Lineage: Eukaryota; Metazoa; Chordata; Mammalia; Primates; Tarsiidae
Description: Metazoan signal recognition particle RNA (ENSTSYG00000033901.1)
Rfam family: Metazoan signal recognition particle RNA
About the family: The signal recognition particle (SRP) is a universally conserved ribonucleoprotein.
Source: Rfam by way of RNAcentral
ACUGGGUUUGGUGAUGCACCCUGUAGUCCCACCUACCCAGGAGGCUGAGCCUUGAGCCCAGGAGCUCUGGGCUGUGGGUGCUAUGCUGAUCGGGUACCCACUCUAAGUAUGACAUCAAUAUGGUGACCUUCCAGGAAUGAGGGGCCACCAGGUUGCAUAAGAAGGGAUGAACCAGCCCAGGUCAGAAAUAGAGCAAGCCAAAACUCCUGUGCUGGUCAGUAGUGGGAUUGUGCCUGUGAGUAGCCACUGCACUCCACCCUGGGCAACACAGCGAAACACU